CAUCCUUUGACAUGGCGUGUUAUGGGGAGAGAUUCCCAGUCCUCUUCGGAGGCGCGCACACAGGUGCUGCAUGGCUGUCGUCAGCUCGUGUCGUGAGAUGUUGGGUUAAGUCCCGCAACGAGCGCAACCCACGUCCUUAGUUGCCAUCAUUCAGUUGGGCACUCUAGGGAGACUGCCGGUGAUAAGCCGCGAGGAAGGUGUGGAUGACGUCAAGUCCUCAUGGCCCUUACGGGAUGGGCUACACACGUGCUACAAUGGCGGUGACAGUGGGACGCGAAGGAGCGAUUUGGAGCAAAUCCCCAAAAGCCGUCUCAGUUCGGAUUGCACUCUGCAACUCGAGUGCAUGAAGGCGGAAUCGCUAGUAAUCGUGGAUCAGCAUGCCGCGGUGAAUA
Molecule: ribosomal RNA, 392 nt
Filed under: uncultured bacterium
Lineage: Bacteria
Description: bacterial SSU rRNA
Rfam family: Bacterial small subunit ribosomal RNA
Source: RNAcentral